CCAAAAAUGUUGGUUAAAUCCCUCCUAUACUA
This 32-nucleotide transfer RNA is filed under the name Anolis apletolepis. RNAcentral's name for it is "partial tRNA-Met". Lineage: Eukaryota; Metazoa; Chordata; Lepidosauria; Squamata; Anolidae. The record is from RNAcentral.